GAUGAACGCUGGCGGCGUGCCUAAUACAUGCAAGUCGAGCGAACAGACGAGAGUGCUUGCACUCUCUGACGUUAGCGGCGGACGGGUGAGUAACACGUGGGUAACCUACCUAUAAGACUGGGAUAACUUCGGGAAACCGGAGCUAAUACCGGAUAAUAUUUAGCUUCGCAUGAAGCAAUAGUGAAAGACGGUUCUGCUGUCACUUAUAGAUGGACCCGCGGUGUAUUAGCUAGUUGGUGAGGUAACGGCUCACCAAGGCAACGAUACAUAGCCGACCUGAGAGGGUGAUCGACCACACUGGGACUGAGACACGGCCCAGACUCCUACGGGAGGCAGCAGUAGGGAAUCUUCCGCAAUGGACGAAAGUCUGACGGAGCAAUGCCGCGUGAGUGAAGAAGGUUUUCGGAUCGUAAAACUCUGUUGUAAGGGAAGAACAAGUACGUUAGUAACUGAACGUACCUUGACGGUACCUUACCAGAAAGCCACGGCUAACUACGUG
RNAcentral lists this ribosomal RNA (499 nucleotides) under uncultured bacterium. RNAcentral's name for it is "partial 16S ribosomal RNA". It matches the Rfam family "Bacterial small subunit ribosomal RNA", at positions 28 to 507 of the family's 1533-position model. The record is from RNAcentral.